UCGAGACAAACUUAACAACCGCUUUAAAAAUCCCACCAUUUUCGGUAGGAAUCUCACGGGGAAGAAGUAGAAGAGGGAAAGACGUGGUCGGGUGCGAUAUCCCCAUCGACUCAAGUCUUUAGCAAGAGAUUUGGGGUAUGGAUGUUGCCAAGUAUGAGCAGCGAAGGAGAGCAGCAGCAGCUGCAGCUGCUUGUAUGGCUGCUAUAGCUGCAAUACUAGUUGCAUUAGAUGACGAUGAUGAUGAUGAUGAUGACAACGACGAAAAUUAGAGACAGGGUGUUUACUCUCGCGAGCUGGCUGCCAUUGCUGAAGGCAUCAAAGAGAUGGCUGAUGCACUUCAAGAGCUGCCCAACCCUUAUGUCAAGAAUUUGACACCUAUACUGUGUUAUUAGGGAAAUCCCUGAAAUUUCUGAUGACAUGGAAGCUAGGUCACUUGAAUACUUGAGUGCAGAUCCAAUGUGAGCUAAUGUAUUUAUGACAAUGUCUCACAGAGGACUGCUUUCCUUUGGAGGCACUUGAAUUCACAGGACGAGAGUGGACAGUAGGGUCUCACUGAUUCAGGGAAGCUUGUUAACAUACUCUAUUGGUAACUUGGGCGAUUACGCAUGACACUUGAUAUUUGUCAUAAUGUUGGUUGGUUCGUUCAAUUUUUUGCUAAGUCUAUGUGGAUCUGUAUACCACCUAGAAAUAGUUGAAUGGAUGAAUUUCUUGUUUUCUUUUCUUGUAUUUUUCUGCCAUGAAUCUCAAACCGCUUGUUUCCUUC
Molecule: long non-coding RNA, 763 nt
Organism: Macadamia integrifolia
Lineage: Eukaryota; Viridiplantae; Streptophyta; Magnoliopsida; Proteales; Proteaceae
Exons: 2
Source: RefSeq, a predicted model, not a curated record